CGCGUAGGCGGUCUCUUAAGUCAGAUGUGAAAGCCCGGGGCUUAACCCCGGAAGUGCAUUUGAAACUAAGGGACUUGAGUAUGGGAGAGGGAAGUGGAAUUCCUGGUGUAGAGGUGAAAUUCGUAGAUAUCAGGAGGAACACCGGUGGCGAAGGCGACUUCCUGGACCAAUACUGACGCUGAGGCGCGAAGGCGUGGUGAGCAAACAGGAUUAGAUACCCUGGUAGUCC
RNAcentral lists this ribosomal RNA (229 nucleotides) under uncultured bacterium. RNAcentral describes it as "partial 16S ribosomal RNA". It matches the Rfam family "Bacterial small subunit ribosomal RNA", at positions 568 to 796 of the family's 1533-position model. The record is from RNAcentral.